This is a long non-coding RNA of Heterocephalus glaber (naked mole-rat), 2930 nucleotides long. RefSeq lists it as uncharacterized. The record is from RefSeq and is a predicted model, not a curated record. NCBI's taxonomy places the organism in Eukaryota, Metazoa, Chordata, Mammalia, Rodentia, Bathyergidae.
UUCAAUUAAAACUUUUCCACAGAGAAAAUCCUAGACCCAGACAAAUUCACUAAGUAAUUCUACAACAUUUAAGGAAAAAAAUAAUACCAGUUCUACAAAAAUAAUUCUAGAAAACUGAAAAGGAAGGAAUAUUUCCCGAUUGAUUGUAUCCCUUGUGAACAUAGAUGUGAAAAUUCUUAACAAAAUUUUACUAAAUCAAAUCCAAAACUAUAUAAAUAGAACAGUACAUCAUGGCCAAGUAGGGUUUGUCUCAGGAAUACAAGACUAGUAUAGCUUUCCAAAAUCAACUGAUAUAAUCUCCAUAUUAACAAGCUGAAACAGAAAAACUAUAUUUCCAUCUCUCUUUUUUUUUGGUACUGGGGAUUGAACUUGGGUCCUUGCACUUGCGCAGCAGGUGGUGAAAACACUGAGCUAAAUCCCCGGCAUGUAUUUCCAUCUUAAUAAAUGUGGCAAAAGCAUUUGAAAAACAUACAACAUCCAUCCUUGAUAAAAACACUCAGCAAAGUCUUAACAGAAGAGAACUUCUUCAACCUGAUAAAGGGAAUUUACAAAGAAAAGAAAACAAACAAACAAACCACCUACAAAAGUGUCAUAGUCAAUAGUGAAAGGCUGAAUAUCUUCCCCUAAGAUCAAGAACAAGGCAAGUGUGUCCACUCACCACUUCUGUUCAGGUCUGCCCUGGAGGUGCUGAUCAGUGACAAAAAGCAGAUCUGGGGAUGGGGGGUGAGAAUCAGGGAGGGGAAGGGGAGGAGGAAGGAUCAAGAUGGAGAGUGUGUAUGCAACAAUACCUGUGAUGAUACAUUCAUUACAUAUUGCAAACAUACACUAAUAAAUUUAAAAAAUAAAACAUGAAGAAGAAAUAAAAAACAUCCAGAUUGGGAGGAAAGUAAAAUUAUCCCUAUUCACACAUGUCAUGAUCAUCUCUGUAGAAAGUCCAGUGGAAAAAACUCUUCAAAUGACCAGAAUGAAUGUGAGUAUAGCGAAUUUGCACAUCACAAGACUAGUAGUUUUUUAAAGUUGUAUUUCUGUAUACUAGCAAUAAAAAUCAUACAUUAAAAUUUUAAAAUACAAAAAAUAACAUCAGAAAAUAUGAGACACUAGGGGGUAAAUCUGACAAAAUAUUUGGAAACUAUAAGACACUGCUGAGGGAAAUUAAAAGAGACAUAUCAUGUUCAUAUGUCAGAAUACUCGGUGUUAUUACAAUGUCAAUUCUCACCAAAUUCAUCUACAGAUUCACAAUAAUCCCAAUCAAGCAGACUUUUUGUAUAUAUUACCAAGGUGGUUCUAAAAUGUACAAGUAAAUGCUGAGGAUCUUGAAUAUUUAAAACAACUUUGGAAAGAAGGACCUACACUGCCUGAUUACAAGAUUUACUACAAAGCUAUAGUGAAUAUAAGACAGUGUAGUGUCGUCUCAAAGAGACAAGUCAGCGGAAGAGAACAGAGACACAGAGUGGUCAUGAACAGCUGCUUCACCACUGGUGGAGAGCAGCUGGGAAGCCAGAAUGGCUCACCCCAGGAGGACACACCUACUCCCAAUGUGCUGCACCCAACCUCUGGCCCAGAUGUACCACCAAUAUCCAUGUCCUCCUCCACCAGACGAUCCUCUAGACCCAAGGCAUCAUCACUGCCAAAAACAGCAAGUGAAUCCUCUUCCCUUCUGUAUUUCAGGGUCACCCCUCUGGCAGCAAACUUGACUUUCCAGUGUCAGUGAACAGUUGUUGUUCCUAACACUUUCCAUACUUUGGGGCCCCUGUGAGUACACCCCUGGCCUGCUUUUGAUGAGUUAUAAUGGGGAGCAGUGACCCUUUUCCACAGAACUCAAUCCCUGUAGUCAUGCCCAGACUGUAGAGGCCCAGACUGAUUGUGUAGCUAGAGUAGAGGACUGACCUCACAGAGAUGCUUACAGGGUUGCCAGGCAGAGCAUCACAGAAGGGCAGGUAUGUGGUACUGUGGUAGCCAUGGCCAGAGUGCCUCACCCAGCCAGGGCAGGACAAAGGGAUAGCACAGUGGAGGUGGCUUUAAAUCAGGACCUGAAGAAGAGAAAUGAAAGACUGGGGAGUACUGCAGAGAAAACAGAACAUUGUUUUCUUUGAGACUUCAUUAUCAUCAAGACAUCAAGGAAAGCACCUGCAGUCCCUAAGCAGCCUUCACCUAGCCAAGGACACCCCACCCCCACCAGGGGAAGGAAGGCUGACUGACUGCUGCCCCUCAUCAUUGCUGCCUGCAUUGUGGGAGAACACAGGCUGGAUGAGUGGACCCUUUGAAGACACCACACUAUGCAAACCCUACCUGUGCAGACCAACAGCAGCAUGGGACUGCUUCUAAAUGCAGGGUCACACCCCACUGAAACCUGCAUUUCAAUGAGAUCCAAAUUGCGUGUGCUCCUUGGGGUUUGAAAGCUGUGGGCUAGAGCAUGUGUAUGCCCCCACUCCAACUGGAGGAAAAACCAAAUUCCCUACAGCUCUCAAUCAUAAGCCUGACCCCAUCGCAGUAAACAAUGCUGAUGGUCAGUGAAGUGUUUGUAUUUACUGCUCCCAGCAGCCCUCAGAGUUGACAAUGUUAUUAUGUUCCCUUGGUUAAGGUGGAGAUGCCAGGCUGCCAGAGAUUAAGGGAAAUGCCACUGUUUUCCUCAGCAUGUAAGAAGCAAAGCUGAUCAGCCUGAUUCCCGUAGAUGCUGUGGAUUCCCUGGAAGCACACAGGAGGUGAGCUGCUCCCAGUGCACAAGAGGAGGCUUCCAGACCGCCAUACCACCCCCGUCAUUACACAAGAGGUGAGCCACUCCCAGCGCACAAGAGGAGGCUUCCUGGCCACCAUACCACCCCCGCCAGCACACAGGAGGUGAACCGGGAGGGCGCCAACAGCAAUCGCCCUACCCAGUCGAAAUGAGAACACACAUAAAUAAGUCUCAAAAUCAGACUUUCAGAUCAACU